AGCGAACGCUGGCGGCAGGCCUAACACAUGCAAGUCGAACGAAGCCUUCGGGCUUAGUGGCGGACGGGUGAGUAACACGUGGGAACGUACCUUUAGGUUCGGAACAACUCAGGGAAACUUGAGCUAAUACCGGAUAAGCCCUUCGGGGGAAAGAUUUAUCGCCUUUAGAGCGGCCCGCGUUAGAUUAGCUAGUUGGUGAGGUAAAGGCUCACCGAGGCUACGAUCUAUAGCUGGUCUGAGAGGAUGAGCAGCCACACUGGGACUGAGACACGGCCCAGACUCCUACGGGAGGCAGCAGUGGGGAAUCUUGCGAAAUGGGCGAAAGCCUGACGCAGCCAUGCCGCGUGAAUGAUGAAGGUCUUAGGAUUGUAAAAUUCUUUUACCAGGGACGAUAAUGACGGUACCUGGAGAAAAAGCCCCGGCUAACUUCGUGCCAGCAGCCGCGGUAA
Molecule: ribosomal RNA, 449 nt
Filed under: uncultured bacterium
Lineage: Bacteria
Description: partial 16S ribosomal RNA
Rfam family: Bacterial small subunit ribosomal RNA
Source: RNAcentral